This 457-nucleotide ribosomal RNA is filed under the name uncultured bacterium. Its description in RNAcentral is "SSU rRNA". It matches the Rfam family "Bacterial small subunit ribosomal RNA", at positions 26 to 518 of the family's 1533-position model. The record is from RNAcentral.
AGGAUAAACGCUGGCGGCGUGCCUAACACAUGCAAGUCGAACGUCCUACGCAAGUAGGGAGUGGCGGACGGGUGAGUAACACGUGGGCAAUCUACCUUUCGGUGAGGAAUACCGGCGAGAAAUCGCCGACAAUACCGCAUACGCUUCGCAAGAAGCAAAGUCGCAAGACGCCGGAGGAGGGGCCUGCGCCCGAUUAGCUGGUUGGUGGAGUAAUGGUCUACCAAGGCGACGAUCGGUAGCUGGUCUGAGAGGAUGAUCAGCCACACUGGGAUUGAGAACGGCCCAGACUCCUACGGGGGGCAGCAGUGGGGAAUAUUGCGCAAUGGGCGAAAGCCUGACGCAGCGACGCCGCGUGGGGGAUGAAGGCCUUCGGGUUGUAAACCCCUUUCAGCAGGGACGAAGCGAAAGUGACGGUACCUGCAGAAGAAGCGCCGGCUAACUACGUGCCAGCAGCCGC